This is a long non-coding RNA of Lycium ferocissimum, 664 nucleotides long. RefSeq lists it as uncharacterized. The record is from RefSeq and is a predicted model, not a curated record. The transcript has 3 exons. NCBI's taxonomy places the organism in Eukaryota, Viridiplantae, Streptophyta, Magnoliopsida, Solanales, Solanaceae.
GCAGAUUAAAAGCACAGAGCUGGACUAAAGAAGGAGUUUCUCAUUCAGUUCCUUUGACUUCAACUCUCCUAAUAAUGGCGGCCUCUUCUCCUCCUCUGAUGAUGAAUCUUUUGGUAGUAAUUUUAACGCACCUGAAGCUCUCUUAUAAUAUCUCGCUAUCUACACACUUCCUGACUAUGGCGAUAGAGUCUCGAGUUGAUUCCUAAGCUUCUGAGUAAAAUUUGAAGCUUAUUCCAAACAUUCCAGAGAUAGUGAAACUUAUUCCAAGAGAAAUCAUGAGAGAAUGAUAAAUUAUAAAAAAUAAAGUGGAAGUAUAAAAGUAUUUCUCCAAGCAGUACAACUUAUUCUACACAUUCCAACAAAAUGAUACCGCUUAAAGAAUGAGAAUUAUGAGGUUGGGAGAUGAAAACUUACGGCUUGUUUAGACGGUUUCUGUCGCUGAGUCGUCUCGUUCGCGUGUAUGUUUUUGUUUUGUUUUGUUUUAAAGAGAGCGGGGAAAUUUUGAGGGAAGCAGGCGCUCUUUUUUGGGUUAAUUUUAGUAUAAACAAAGGGAUAUUAUACUUUUUAACGACAGGAUGUUAUCCUCUGGUUAUUUGUGGACCUAAAAUUGGCUUUUAACCACGGGAAAAAAAUUGGUUGCUAUAAAUAUACUUUUAACGAUGGG